UCAUCAUACUAAUACCUCUAUGAGUUCCCAUAUGAUGCAAGGUUGCUACCCUCAAGGUUGGCCACCAUUCGUGGAAAUGCUUCACCCACUGCUCAAGAAGUGUAGCUGGGCAGACAAUGAGGCUGGGACCCAAUCCUCGAAACCUGCGAACAGUGUAUAAUAUAACGUGACAGGAUCUGUUAUACGCUACUCACAAGAUUUUGUGCAACCCGUUUUUACUUUGGGACCACGAACACGUUUCUUCAUCAAAGACUUGCCCUCGUCAGCUGGUGAAAAUACUAUCUUCAUAUAACAAUUGCCACUGGCGUUACAUCUAUUUUGAACUUAUCACUGUACCUGAAUCUGGCUGCUCGUCACUUGGGAUCCUGGUCUUUUCUUUGCUAGCAGGAGCACACCUCUUUUGUGCCUUCAACAUGGCCUUGCAUCUUGCGAGUUCUGCUUGUCGAAAUAUGUAGCGUUCCAAGUCCAAGAGCUGAGUCAUCUUGCUGGAAGUUCUGAAAAUUGAUGAUUGGUCCUAGAUUGAUAAAAUAGCAUGUGAUUUUUACAUGGAAGAUUGAGUAGCUGUCUUACCCUUCGGCACUUAGCUCCCGCACAGUCUCCGCAGAUGCUUGAAAGGGGGUAAUCUCUCCUAAUUGGACUCGUCUUGCUACCUUGGCCUCAUCUGUUUGGAAUUCAACUUUGCUUACAUGGCUUGUGGGCUCAUCCGAUUUUAUGAAAGACCAGAUUAAACGAGGAAAAAGAGGGAAAUAACCUAAGUAUUUUUCUCGAGUUUUCAUAGGUAAACUGUGAUAAUUUGGGGAUGAAAUAUCCAGCAUUUCGAGAAGCCGCAAAUAUCGCACAUUUAAUCGUGCUUAUACACAAAGCACAAACUCAAGUAGAACGAUAGCAGUACUGUUCAGUGUAAAUAGGUAAAUACGUACGAACGGCAGUACUUACUCUGGCAGACUUGUUCCAGUGUUAUCUCUAAUGAUCCUCUUCAAGUGUGAUCCAAGAGUCUAACAAGAGUCUAAUACCAGCUAAUACCGUUGACUGGAAGAUCUUUAGUCAAUGCUAAUACCCUAUCGAUUCUCAAUGAUGAUAAUACCCAACUCAAAAGACAGUGCCAUCGUUUGGAGACUCAACGAAUUAUUUUCACCGUCAAUGUACCAAAGAACUCGAGUCUGACAUCGUAACAGAGCAAGAGCAUUUGUCUGUUCCUUCUUUUUCAUACUUUGCAUCAAUGGCAUUACCGUGGUAUUACCGACUGUCAAUCAGUCAACAAUUUACUGUAGGUUUAC
This is a long non-coding RNA of Athalia rosae (coleseed sawfly), 1277 nucleotides long. RefSeq lists it as uncharacterized. The transcript is spliced from 5 exons. NCBI's taxonomy places the organism in Eukaryota, Metazoa, Arthropoda, Insecta, Hymenoptera, Athaliidae. The record is from RefSeq and is a predicted model, not a curated record.